GGGGAAGUUGUGCAUUCUCUUCCAUCUCCCAGGAGUCUGUCAUUGUCCUGCACUGGCAGACCAGGCUGAGCCAGUGUUGAGCACUUCAGUCCCAGGAACAAGUGACCUCUCCAGCACUGCAAGCAUCUUCCAGAUUGUGGCCCUGCUCAGAAUACAACUCGAGGCAAAGCAAUCAGAAACAGAAAGGAAAUGGGGCUCAAAAUAUAUCCAGAAUACAAGCCAGAAGGAAAUGAAAAGCCAAAAAAAAAGAGGAGAAAUUCUAUUGACUUAAGAAUGUUGUAACUAACAAUUCAUUAGCUAUCUGGGAAUGCUCAGGCAAAAUCCUUACCAAGCAUGCUCAAAACGACCUA
Molecule: long non-coding RNA, 350 nt
Filed under: Chloebia gouldiae (Gouldian finch)
Lineage: Eukaryota; Metazoa; Chordata; Aves; Passeriformes; Passeridae
Description: Erythrura gouldiae (Gouldian finch) lncRNA (ENSEGOG00005014788.1)
Source: RNAcentral